AUCUCCUCUUCUUAGCUUCCUUCAGGAUAACUGGAUCUUUGCCCAGGAUUUAACACGGAAGGCCUGAAAAGCAUCACAAGUUCUUCCAUAAGCUUUCUGAAUCCGGGGGUAACUCAGAGCCCUGUGUAAUUGCCUCUAACUCCUUCAGGCAUAGCCAGACUGGGUUUCGGGAUUGUAAUAAUGAACUUCAAUGAGAAAGUCUGAUGGAGACAUUUUCCUAAAAGAAGGUGGAAACAAAAGACCAACAAUCAGCAUAUACUUAAAACAAAAGAGUUCUCUCAUCUGUUUCCUUUCGCUAGUAACUUUCAAGACAGUAAACGGAGACAGGAGAAUGUUUAUCUGUGAUAUGAAGAGAAUUUGGAACACAGGACUUUCUACCAGUGCCACGUGUUGAGAGUCUUUCUCCACACUGUUCUGAAAACUGUGAAAUUAAAGGAUCUGCAACUUGUGUUUAUGCUGCAUCCUAAACAUUUGGAAAAGACUUACAGCAAGAGGAGAAGCAACAAUUACUCAGGAAAAGCACAAGGAAGAUGGAGAGGAAG
Molecule: long non-coding RNA, 542 nt
Filed under: Mus spicilegus (steppe mouse)
Lineage: Eukaryota; Metazoa; Chordata; Mammalia; Rodentia; Muridae
Description: lncRNA (ENSMSIG00000003835.1)
Source: RNAcentral